Long non-coding RNA from Helianthus annuus (common sunflower), 881 nucleotides. RefSeq lists it as uncharacterized. The record is from RefSeq and is a predicted model, not a curated record. The transcript is spliced from 2 exons. Lineage: Eukaryota; Viridiplantae; Streptophyta; Magnoliopsida; Asterales; Asteraceae.
UUGACCAAGUUUAUCCUUCCUUUUUGGCCGCUGAUUGAUCGGGAUUUAAUCCUGUAUACACGCCUUUCCCUCAUUAUCUCAAUCAUGAACUUGGCCUCUUUUUUUUUUUAAACAAAUACAUCAAUCAUUUUUACGGAAACUUCAAUCAACCUCGAGUCCGAAACGCGUAUAUAUAGACAACAUGUUUGGUCCGAGAAACCCACAACCACUGGAUUACCUAAUUGUUUGGUGCAAGUCAUAUAAGUGUUUUUUUUUUUUUGUAUUUAUCAUCUUACUACAAUGAAUUCCUUUUGAAACAAAACUUGCCGUGCAAACCUACAACGAUUAUGGAAGGUAGCAAAUCACUGACCAAUUCCCAGUCAAGUUUCCUUACAAGAAGAUCUCACACUCAUGGCCAGAUUGGAAAACGCGUUUUCUCGUGAGCCAUGUCCUUUAUCAUCGAACACUUCUUUAUAAAUUCCAACACUCUAAAUCUACCGACAAGAAAACUCACCCUCUUAUUCGCAUGGUUUCGUCGACCACAACCCAUUUACACUCUCUCAUUACCCGCAACAUUCGUACUGCCGAAGGACUCGCAAUACGCUGGAGAAGGAUCUGCAACCCGUCGGAGCACGUCAACGAUUGUUUCGUCAUCGCUUCGGAUAAUCCUCGAUGUUCCAAACUUUUCCCAAUCCCAUUCGUGUGCUAGAAUUUUUGCAAGGAUUCGCUAACGCAAACUUGUGAACAGGUACGAAGAGAAGAUUGGACACAGGAUGGGCUUUAGUUAACAAAAAAACGGAUUAGCUUAGUGUAGUUAUGAACCAUGGCUUGUGCUUGUAAUUGUGUAUUUGAAUUAAUUGUUUCGUGAAACAUUUGUUAUGAAUUAAUGAUUAUUUAAAACA